Molecule: ribosomal RNA, 253 nt
Filed under: uncultured bacterium
Lineage: Bacteria
Description: partial 16S ribosomal RNA
Rfam family: Bacterial small subunit ribosomal RNA
Source: RNAcentral
UACGAAGGGUGCAAGCGUUACUCGGAAUUACUGGGCGUAAAGCGUGCGUAGGUGGUUCGUUAAGUCUGAUGUGAAAGCCCCGGGCUCAACCUGGGAACCGCGCUUGAGACUGGCAUGCUCGAGUUCGGGAGAGGAUGGUGGAAUUCCCAGUGUAGAGGUGAAAUUCGUAGAGAUUGGGAAGAACACCAGUGGCGAAGGCGGCUAUCUGGACGGUUUCUGACGCUAAGACGCGAAAGCGUGGGGAGCAAACAGG